This 506-nucleotide ribosomal RNA is filed under the name uncultured bacterium. RNAcentral's name for it is "partial 16S ribosomal RNA". The record is from RNAcentral.
GGAGUUAGCCGGUGCUUCUUCUGUGAGUGAUGUCCUUCCUGCCGGCUAUUAACCCGCAGGCCUUCUUCCUCACUGAAAGUGCUUUACAACCCGAAGGCCUUCUUCACACACGCGGCAUGGCUGGAUCAGGGUUGCCCCCAUUGUCCAAUAUUCCCCACUGCUGCCUCCCGUAGGAGUCUGGGCCGUGUCUCAGUCCCAGUGUGGCUGAUCAUCCUCUCAGACCAGCUACGGAUCGUCGCCUUGGUGAGCCGUUACCUCACCAACCAGCUAAUCCGACAUAGGCUCAUCCGAUAGCGCGAGGCCCGAAGGUCCCCCGCUUUCCCCCGUAGGGCGUAUGCGGUAUUAGCCUGGGUUUCCCCCAGGUUAUCCCCCACUACCGGGGCAGAUUCCUAUGCAUUACUCACCCGUCCGCCGCUCGCCACCAGGGAGCAAGCUCCCCGUGCUGCCGCUCGACUUGCAUGUGUAGCUCGCCGCCACGCGUCAUCUGAGCAUGAUACAACUACUGA